This 1174-nucleotide long non-coding RNA is filed under the name Brassica napus (rape). RNAcentral describes it as "long non-coding RNA (BNAP_LNC003309)". Lineage: Eukaryota; Viridiplantae; Streptophyta; Magnoliopsida; Brassicales; Brassicaceae. The record is from RNAcentral.
CAAAAUGCAAAUAAAAAUAUGAAACUUCAAAUUUGAAGUUUUGAAAAGUGAAACUCUAUAUUUGAAGUUAUAGAGUUUCUUUUGGAGAUGCUCUAAAAGAAUCAUCAGAAAGAGCAGUUACCGUAAUCAAUAUGGUGCUUGGGGCUUCUCAGGUGCUCGUUUUCAGAAGCAUGGUAAGGCUCUUCGACGUGGCAAGCGCAGCAAAUUGAAUUACGACUGUAAAAUGAAGCAAAAAAAUUAGCUUUUAAAGAAGUAAAAGAGGAAAAUAAAGUAUUGCUAAAAAACUUAGCUUCUAUCGAUGAUGUUAAUAUUCGUGAAUACAUUCGAUCUGAACAAGAAAGAAUCGUACGAAAAAGGCGUCAAGAGCAACAACAACAAUCAUCUUCGGUUACACAAAAUUUAUUUGGGCAAUAUUUUGGAGAUUUGGGAGGUUUUGGAGCAAAUUUAUCAGACUAUUAGUGUUGUUAUAAUAUUUAAAUUUGAGUAAUAAUUAUGUCUUCAUGUGUCUUUUUAAUAAGUUUUUAUUAUGGUUUUUUGUAAUAUUCUUGUUCUUUAAUUCUAGUUUUAAAAUAUUAUAAAUCUUGUUUUAAAAUUUUUAUUUAAUUUCAUAUGUAAAACUUAAAUUUAUAAAACAAAUUUUAAAUAUUUAUGAGAUAUAAAAGUUUUAAGGAUUAAAACAAUAAACAAAAAAUAUUUAAGAAUUAUAAAUAUGAUCUAUAAUUAUAAUGACCAAAAUGCAAAUAAAAAUAUGAAACUUCAAAUUUGAAGUUUUGAAAAGUGAAACUCUAUAUUUGAAGUUAUAGAGUUUCUUUUGGAGAUGCUCUAAAAGAAUCAUCAGAAAGAGCAGUUACCGUAAUCAAUAUGGUGCUUGGGGCUUCUCAGGUGCUCGUUUUCAGAAGCAUGGUAAGGCUCUUCGACGUGGCAAGCGCAGCACAACCACCUACGCAUCUUUUCUCUCUUGCCUAUGUAGAGAUCGUCUACAGCUCUCGGUUUAUCUAGCCGAACAAAGUAUACUGGUGAACGAUCGUCCGCCUGAAAAUGUCAUCACUAUCAUCAAUACACUCACAAAGGUUUUCCUUUUUCAUAUCUAAACAGAGCCAAAAACAGAGGAAAAAACAGAGCCAAAAACAGAGCCAAAAACAGAGCCAAAGCAAGUUUCUUCAAACGAAACAGA